RNAcentral lists this ribosomal RNA (290 nucleotides) under uncultured bacterium. RNAcentral's name for it is "partial 16S ribosomal RNA". It matches the Rfam family "Bacterial small subunit ribosomal RNA", at positions 505 to 795 of the family's 1533-position model. The record is from RNAcentral.
GUGCCAGCCGCCGCGGUAAUACGGAGGGUGCAAGCGUUGUCCGGAAUCACUGGGCGUAAAGGGUGCGCAGGCGGGGCAGCAAGUCGGAGGUGAAAGCCCGUGGCUCAACCACGGAAGUGCCUUCGAAACUGUUGCUCUUGAGUCCCGGAGAGGUUGCCGGAAUUCGUGGUGUAGCGGUGAAAUGCGUAGAUAUCACGAGGAACACCAGAGGCGAAAGCGGGCAACUGGACGGGUACUGACGCUCAGGCACGAAAGCGCGGGGAGCAAACAGGAUUAGAUACCCCAUAUCC